UUUCUGUCAUUUUCACUUUUUUGUGUCUUUUUUAGAUCCCUUUUGCUUGACUUGAGUGUAUAAGGAGAUGGAAAUUAAUGACCGUGAUGUAGUGUUUGUUAAAUGAUGGAGCUGAGCUUAAAUAACAAAUAUUUAACUGAAAAAUGUUUUGUCAUCGUUACUAAAAGGAUGAAAGGGUAUUAAAAUAAUGGAGACACUUCUUCAGGAGCAGUGUGGGUGAUCGUGCUCUUAAGUUGUAAGGUUGUGCUCAGGGCAGUUGAGAAAAUGUAUUUGCAUAGAGUUUCCUUGGAACCACCUAUCUUUAUUGACACUGGAAUUCCAUGGCUGUUGUCUGAACUUUGCCGGUACCGUUUUAUUGAGGAAAGACUGUUUAAUAUGCACAGCUGGAAGAAAAGAAGACUGCAGACAGCAAAUCUUUUAGAAAAGAUUAAGGAAUCAUACUACUUAAGGGGAUGUUGAUCGUGAAAAUCACAGAGGAACAAGUGUAAGCUUGGAAACAGCAUCUUCCUGUGAAUUAGUGCUAUAAUCUCCAGAGCCUGAGAAUUCGGUGAGGGAACGUUGAGCAACAAAACUAAAAUAGCCGUUGUUGCCAUGAAGACGCCCUUGCCGAGUGCCCCGGUUGCUUUGUGUCCUACCCAGGGGGGUGGGCACGGCCCCGGCGCUGGCUCUUUCGCAGCUUCGGUCUGUGGGGUAGAGGCUUCAUUCCGCAGGAGCGGAGCUCAGCUGUAGCAGCUGAGUAGGGUUACUGCUCCCCACCUGCACCACUCCUUACUUCAGUUCUGAUUGCUGUGUUGGAAAUAUUUGGUUAUUAUACCCCUGCCAGCAUGAUUAUUUUCAGCUGUAAAGACAUGCCUCAAUACAAGUUUUGCGUAUAUUUGAA
This is a long non-coding RNA of Tyto alba (common barn owl), 880 nucleotides long. RefSeq lists it as uncharacterized. The record is from RefSeq and is a predicted model, not a curated record. The transcript is spliced from 3 exons. NCBI's taxonomy places the organism in Eukaryota, Metazoa, Chordata, Aves, Strigiformes, Tytonidae.